RNAcentral lists this ribosomal RNA (505 nucleotides) under uncultured bacterium. RNAcentral's name for it is "partial 16S ribosomal RNA". It matches the Rfam family "Bacterial small subunit ribosomal RNA", at positions 899 to 1397 of the family's 1533-position model. The record is from RNAcentral.
ACUCAAAGGAAUUGACGGGGGCUCACACAAGCGGUGGAGCAUGUGGCUUAAUUCGAGGCUACGCGCAAAACCUUAUCCCGGGCUUGACAUGCACGGAUUAGCCGGCGGAAACGUCGGCGAGGCCGCAAGGUACAACGUGCACAGGUGCUGCAUGGCUGUCGUCAGCUCGUGCCGUGAGGUGUUGGGUUAAGUCCCCUAACGAGCGCAACCCCUGUGUCUAGUUGCCAUCAGGUCACGCUGGGCACUCUAGACAGACCGCCGGCGUCAAGCCGGAGGAAGGCGGGGAUGACGUCAAGUCCUCAUGGCCCUUAUGCCCGGGGCCGCACACGUGCUACAAUGGGCCGGACAGAGCGUCGCCACCGCGCAAGCGGGAGCUAAUCGCCCAAACCGGCCCCCAGUUCGGAUUGCGGGCUGCAACCCGCCCGCAUGAAGCCGGAAUCGCUAGUAAUCGCGGAUCAGCAUCGCCGCGGUGAAUGGGUUCCUGAGCCUUGUACACACCGCCCGU